RNAcentral lists this long non-coding RNA (394 nucleotides) under Chloebia gouldiae (Gouldian finch). Its description in RNAcentral is "Erythrura gouldiae (Gouldian finch) lncRNA (ENSEGOG00005002049.1)". Lineage: Eukaryota; Metazoa; Chordata; Aves; Passeriformes; Passeridae. The record is from RNAcentral.
CACCCUUUAGACUUCCAAUGCUUCUGGCUUUAAUAUUCUGUGCUAGAUUCACAGAGCUCCUCUACAGAUGCUAAGCGUUCAAUCCUGAAGGCUCCACUUCAUCAUCAGGGGUCCUUCAGCAGCCAUCAUUAUCCCAUGCCAACUGCCCUCUUCGUUUGCCUACUGACAACCAGUGUCCUUUCCUAAAAUGGGACUUCAGAGGGAAAGGAAGAUAUGUUUUACAACAUGGUUUAUGAUAUGUUUCAUGACAUUUCUAAUGCUUGAAGAAUUCAACACUUUGCAGAAACUCUUCUGGAUCACCUAUGCUAAAAGUUUAUUCACACCAAGAUUUCAGCCAGGUCUCAAACAAGGAACAAUCAGUAUCAUCCAUGAAUUACCUUUGGAAAAGAACUAG